AGGUGGAGAGAUAUGGGGAGCUGCGUGAAAAUAUUUAGUCCCUAUUGGAGGAUCCAAGCGGGACUAAAAGGGCUAGGACAGAAUACAAAAUUUAGAUUCGGGACUAAAGUUUCUUUAGUUCUGGGUCAAAAAAAUCGACUAGUGCCGGGCUGGGGGAAGGGAAAGGUGAGCUGAGGCCUGUUCAGGAGUUCAAAGGUUUUUCAUUUAUUUAGUUUGGGUUUUUGUUUGAUUUGAAUCAAAUUUGAAUAUAAUUCGAAUUGGAGUUGGGUUUGGGACUUUGGAUUAUUUCUAAAAUUCAAGAGCACUCGAUUGCAUCCAUAUUCACAAUGACUUGAAUAUUAAAGAUAGGGGAAGGGCUUUUAUAGUUUGUUUAGACGAGUUUUGGUUUAGCCAUGGAAUUUGAAUGGAAUUCAAAUUUGGAUUAGGUUUAGUUUUAUUUCCAAAUUCCUAUAGUUUGCAAGUCAUUCAUGUUUUCUUUGUUUGAGCAUGGAUAAUUAAAAUGAUUUUUAAUUAUUAGAGGAAGAAAGAAUUGUCUCUUAUAGAAAAUUUUUAAAAAGUCCUCAUUUUUAAAUGUUUUGAAUUUUUGGAUGUUACAACAUCAAUAUGCUCCUAAAAUAUUU
RNAcentral lists this long non-coding RNA (620 nucleotides) under Setaria viridis. RNAcentral's name for it is "long non-coding RNA (SVIR_LNC006471)". The record is from RNAcentral. Lineage: Eukaryota; Viridiplantae; Streptophyta; Magnoliopsida; Poales; Poaceae.